Gossypium arboreum is the source of this 145-nucleotide non-coding RNA. Lineage: Eukaryota; Viridiplantae; Streptophyta; Magnoliopsida; Malvales; Malvaceae. The record is from Rfam.
CAUUAAAAAUUUCAUUCAUUUUUAAUAUUAAAAACUGGUAUGACUGGCGGAAUAAUCAAACAGUGACAUGUGACAUAUUACAUGUAUCUCAGGCUGACGUAUAGAAACCAUUUUUUAACAGCAAAAGUGGAUGAAUUUUUUAACA